This is a non-coding RNA of Pelobates cultripes (western spadefoot toad), 383 nucleotides long. The record is from the annotation of a GenBank genome assembly. Lineage: Eukaryota; Metazoa; Chordata; Amphibia; Anura; Pelobatidae.
CAGCAUGGAGGGAGGCAGCGGAGAACCCGGGCUAGAGUUCACUCUCCACUGAACCACCAGGGAAGGCAGCAGGACUGGGAUAUUAACUAAUCUGCCCCCACCUCCACCCAAACAUACAGCACACACACACACACAGCACCUACACACAGCACACACAGCACACAAACAGCACCCACACACACAUUACCCUCGCACACACACACCCAGCACACUAACAGCAUCCUCACAAACACACAAACAGCACACUCACACACAAACAGCACCUUGACAAACACACAGCACACAAACAGCACACUAACAGGACCCGAACAAACACGCACACAGAAACACCCUCUCACACACACACACACACAGCACACUACCAGUUCCCUCACACACUGCAC